RNAcentral lists this microRNA precursor (88 nucleotides) under Echinococcus multilocularis. Its description in RNAcentral is "microRNA emu-mir-153 precursor". Its record names the gene emu-mir-153. Lineage: Eukaryota; Metazoa; Platyhelminthes; Cestoda; Cyclophyllidea; Taeniidae. The record is from miRBase by way of RNAcentral.
AGUCGUAAAUGCUUACGAGACGUGCACUCCAGUUGGAAUGGUUGUCAACCACCUUGUGGAUUGCAUAGUCUCAUAAGUGCCAUCGACU